AUCUUUACAACAACCUUCUGUUUCUUUAGUUAUUAUUCACUUCUCUGUGGGUUCCUUCUCAGACUUGGGAAAAGGUCCCUUCUUCAGAAGGUGAUCAAUGGAGACCAGCCAAAAACUCCAAUUAGCCUGGUAACUUGGAGUUUAUAUCACCGUUCAAAAGCAUUUGAAUACUUAUUCACUGAUUUAGAGAAAAUAAUCUCAUCAUCUCAUUGGUCCUCAACACGAAAGCUUGAAGUGUCCACAUUUCCAAAUGGCCUGCCUCUAAUCUUUGGAGGACCCUCCCUGCCAUCAGCAAUUCACCUCCAUGCACAGCCAGUCUCUGUGUUAACCAGCCCAGGGUCCUCCUCCACAUGGUCUGUAAAUAUACUCCCUGCAGCUGGCCUUCUUAGAGUGGGUGAGCCUGCUGACUAUACGUUUGUAGGCUAUGACUGUUCUGGAUCCUUUUCUUUUCUUUUCAAGAGUCUCACUCUGUCACCCAGGCUGGAAUGCAGCAGAGAUUGGAAGGGAGGGGACUGUGUGGCCCUUAGCCAUGCACACAGGGGACUCUCCUUUCAUCUUUGGUCAUCUGGAAUGGACAGAGAAGCUGUGAUGAACUUCAGAGGGAAUGUUGUGAUCACAUCACUCAUUCGUUACAUGAAUCGUUCAUGUAUUCGCCACCUGUUGAGUGAUGUCUUCUAGGCAACCAGUACUAUGGAAGAUACAAAAGAUGGAAGAUAACACCCCAUAUCUUCCUAUGAAUAAGACUCCUUAUUCAUACAGGAGAACACCCUCUAUGUACCUGUAGGGUCAACCAUUAAACUGAAAAGCACCCUAAGGAAUUAGAGCUUUCAAAAUUAAAUGGACACACAUAUUCACACACAUUUUGCUUUACAAGUUGCUUUGUUUUACAUGCAAAUCUUAAUGAUAAAGGCUGCACCUAUAUGAGAGAAGAUUUCUGAACCCCACAUUUAUUUUAAUCUUGGGACCCCAGUCUAGUUUUCUCCUUCCUCCAAAGCACAUUGUAUUAGUUUGUUCUCAUGCUGCUAAUAAAGACAUACCUGAGACUGUAAUUUAUAAAGGAAAGAGGUUUAAUUGACUCAUAGUUCUGCAUGGCUGGGGAGGCC
Molecule: long non-coding RNA, 1103 nt
Filed under: Callithrix jacchus (white-tufted-ear marmoset)
Lineage: Eukaryota; Metazoa; Chordata; Mammalia; Primates; Cebidae
Description: lncRNA (ENSCJAG00000074144.1)
Source: RNAcentral